UCUAAUACCGGAUAACACUCUGUCCCGCAUGGGACGGGGUUGAAAGCUCCGGCGGUGAAGGAUGAGCCCGCGGCCUAUCAGCUUGUUGGUGGGGUGAUGGCCUACCAAGGCGACGACGGG
This 120-nucleotide ribosomal RNA is filed under the name Streptomyces atratus. RNAcentral describes it as "partial 16S rRNA". It matches the Rfam family "Bacterial small subunit ribosomal RNA", at positions 162 to 283 of the family's 1533-position model. RNAcentral also lists the same sequence under 2 other names. Lineage: Bacteria; Bacillati; Actinomycetota; Actinomycetes; Kitasatosporales; Streptomycetaceae. The record is from RNAcentral.